CAGCCGCGGUAAUACGUAGGGCGCAAGCGUUAUCCGGAAUUAUUGGGCGUAAAGAGCUCGUAGGCGGUUUGUCGCGUCUGCUGUGAAAUCCCGAGGCUCAACCUCGGGCCUGCAGUGGGUACGGGCAGACUAGAGUGCGGUAGGGGAGAUUGGAAUUCCUGGUGUAGCGGUGGAAUGCGCAGAUAUCAGGAGGAACACCGAUGGCGAAGGCAGAUCUCUGGGCCGUAACUGACGCUGAGGAGCGAAAGGGUGGGGAGCAAACAGGCUUAGAUACCCUGGUAGUCCACCCCGUAAACGUUGGGAACUAGUUGUGGGGUCCAUUCCACGGAUUCCGUGACGCAGCUAACGCAUUAAGUUCCCCGCCUGGGGAGUACGGCCGCAAGGCUAAAACUCAAAGGAAUUGACGGGGACCCGCACAAGCGGCGGAGCAUGCGGAUUAAUUCGAUGCAACGCGAAGAACCUUACCAAGGCUUGACAUAUACGAGAACGGGCCAGAAAUGGUCAACUCUUUGGACACUCGUAAACAGGUGGUGCAUGGUUGUCGUCAGCUCGUGUCGUGAGAUGUUGGGUUAAGUCCCGCAACGAGCGCAACCCUCGUUCUAUGUUGCCAGCACGUAAUGGUGGGAACUCAUGGGAUACUGCCGGGGUCAACUCGGAGGAAGGUGGGGAUGACGUCAAAUCAUCAUGCCCCUUAUGUCUUGGGCUUCACGCAUGCUACAAUGGCCGGUACAAAGGGCUGCAAUACCGUGAGGUGGAGCGAAUCCCAAAAAGCCGGUCCCAGUUCGGAUUGAGGUCUGCAACUCGACCUCAUGAAGUCGGAGUCGCUAGUAAUCGCAGAUCAGCAACGCUGCGGUGAAUACGUUCCCGGGUCUUGUACACACCGCCCGUCAAGUCAUGAAAGUCGGUAACACCUGAAGCCGGUGGCCUAACCCUUGUGGAGGGAGCUGUCGAAGGUGGGAUCGGUAAUUAGGACUAAGUCGUAACAAGGUAGCCGUACCGGAAGGUGCGGCUGGAUCACCUCCUUUCUA
Molecule: ribosomal RNA, 1028 nt
Filed under: Microbacterium sp. LCT-H2
Lineage: Bacteria; Bacillati; Actinomycetota; Actinomycetes; Micrococcales; Microbacteriaceae
Description: bacterial SSU rRNA
Rfam family: Bacterial small subunit ribosomal RNA
Source: RNAcentral